RNAcentral lists this ribosomal RNA (239 nucleotides) under uncultured bacterium. RNAcentral describes it as "partial 16S ribosomal RNA". It matches the Rfam family "Bacterial small subunit ribosomal RNA", at positions 96 to 334 of the family's 1533-position model. The record is from RNAcentral.
UGGCGAACGGGUGAGUAACGCGUGAGGAACCUGCCUCAAAGAGGGGACAACAGUUGGAAACGACUGCUAAUACCGCAUAAGCCCACGACCCGGCAUCGGGUAGAGGGAAAAGGAGCAAUCCGCUUUGAGAUGGCCUCGCGUCCGAUUAGCUAGUUGGUGAGGUAACGGCCUACCAAGGCGACGAUCGGUAGCCGGACUGAGAGGUUGAACGGCCACAUUGGGACUGAGACACGGCCCAG